Long non-coding RNA from Homo sapiens (human), 375 nucleotides. NCBI's taxonomy places the organism in Eukaryota, Metazoa, Chordata, Mammalia, Primates, Hominidae. The record is from Ensembl.
AUGUCAUGAGUCAGAAGAGUGCAGGCUGAGGCAUGCCCUCCACUGAAUGGCUUGUCUGCACUCUGAAAGCCAAGUGAACCAACCAUUCCAUCCGUAUGAAGAGCGUAAGUCCUAGAUUUGCGUCGUGAUGUCAUCUCAGGUGCCACUGCUAUCUGUUCUGAGGUUCACUCUGUUCAGCAGCCUUGGACUCUUCAUGGAGUAACAGAUUGGUACUGCACCAGGGAAGAGGUGGUCAUCAACUAUGAAGGAAUCCAGACCUUUAAUCCUGUAGAGCUUCCAAGUAAGGAUAAUGGGUCAACUACAACCUUCUUCCUAGGAUAUGUCGACGUGCACGGCAUUAGGAAAAUCUGCUCUUUAAAUUAAAAUACAAACUCA